GAGUAACCAUUUUGGAGCUAGCCGUCGAAGGUGGGACAAAUGAUUGGGGUGAAGUCGUAACAAGGUAGCCGUAUCGGAAGGUGCGGCUGGAUCACCUCCUUU
RNAcentral lists this ribosomal RNA (102 nucleotides) under Staphylococcus pseudintermedius. RNAcentral describes it as "partial 16S ribosomal RNA". It matches the Rfam family "Bacterial small subunit ribosomal RNA", at positions 1433 to 1533 of the family's 1533-position model. The record is from RNAcentral. Lineage: Bacteria; Bacillati; Bacillota; Bacilli; Caryophanales; Staphylococcaceae.